UACGUAGGGUGCGAGCGUUGUCCGGAAUUAUUGGGCGUAAAGAGCUCGUAGGCGGUGUGUCACGUCGGCCGUGAAAACCUGCAGCUUAACUGUGGGCGUGCGGUCGAUACGGGCAUCACUGGAGUUCGGCAGGGGAGACUGGAAUUCCUGGUGUAGCGGUGAAAUGCGCGGAUAUCAGGAGGAACACCGGUGGCGAAGGCGGGUCUCUGGGCCGAUACUGACGCUGAGGAGCGAAAGCGUGGGGAGCAAACAGG
This 254-nucleotide ribosomal RNA is filed under the name uncultured bacterium. RNAcentral describes it as "partial 16S ribosomal RNA". It matches the Rfam family "Bacterial small subunit ribosomal RNA", at positions 524 to 776 of the family's 1533-position model. The record is from RNAcentral.